This 253-nucleotide ribosomal RNA is filed under the name uncultured bacterium. RNAcentral's name for it is "partial 16S ribosomal RNA". It matches the Rfam family "Bacterial small subunit ribosomal RNA", at positions 524 to 776 of the family's 1533-position model. The record is from RNAcentral.
UACGUAGGGGGCAAGCGUUGUCCGGAAUCAUUGGGCGUAAAGCGCGUGUAGGCGGCUUGGUAAGUCUGCUCUGAAAUCCCCGAGCUCAACUCGGGAACUGCGUCCGAUACUGGCGGGCUUGAAUCCGGGAGAGGGAUGCGGAAUUCCAGGUGUAGCGGUGAAAUGCGUAGAUAUCAGGAGGAACACCGGUGGCGAAGGCGGCAUCCUGGACCGAGAUUGACGCUGAUGCGCGAAAGCCAGGGGAGCAAACGGG